This 362-nucleotide ribosomal RNA is filed under the name Ixodes ricinus (castor bean tick). RNAcentral's name for it is "partial 16S ribosomal RNA". The stretch from base 67 to 362 matches the Rfam family "Bacterial large subunit ribosomal RNA", at positions 2078 to 2619 of the family's 2925-position model. The record is from RNAcentral. Lineage: Eukaryota; Metazoa; Arthropoda; Arachnida; Ixodida; Ixodidae.
AAAAGCUUUCUUUAAUUGAAUAAUUGAAUUUAAUUUUUUUAGUGCAAAAGCAAAAAUAAAAAUUAGGGACAAGAAGACCCUAUGAAUUUUUUAUUAAAUUUUAUAAAACUUUAUAUAAAAUUUAAUUUAAUUGGGGUGAUGGAAAAAGAAUAAAUAUCUUUUUUUUAAAAAAAAUUGGUUCCGUUUUUAGCGAUUAAAUGAAAAAAAUACUCUAGGGAUAACAGCGUAAUAAUUUUGGAUAGUUCAUAUAGAUAAAAUAGUUUGCGACCUCGAUGUUGGAUUAGGAUUCUUUUUUGGUGAAGAAGUUAAAAAAAGAAGUUUGUUCAACUUAUAAUUUCCUACUUGAUCUGAGUUCAGACCGG